Molecule: small RNA, 29 nt
Filed under: Bombyx mori (domestic silkworm)
Lineage: Eukaryota; Metazoa; Arthropoda; Insecta; Lepidoptera; Bombycidae
Description: ovarian small RNA-16686
Source: RNAcentral
GCCGACGUGAAGUUGGCGCUGUUGCCGAC